UUAGACUUAAGGAAGCCUUUAGAAGAAAAACACAAACCGACUAAGCAUUUUCUCUCAGCUCACUUACACGCUCAAAGGAAACCAAGGAGAGAAAAACACAGAAAACUUAAGGGAGAAGCAAGUUGGAAUUCUGAGAUUUGUAGAGUGGAUUUGGGAGUCUAGCUCAGGGGUUUAAUCAAGGAACUGGAGCAAGAUUUAAGGUGUUAAGCUAGGGCUCGAGGAUCGGAUCGCGCUCAAGGAGUAUCGCCCGUAACUAACUCAUCUGAAAGCUAAAGGUAAGAAAACUGCACCUGGUUGAUUAUAUGAGACGGGACUAAGGGCUCCCUAUUGUAAAAGCUUGAAAGGAUGGUAUUAUGCCAUGCAAGCCAUUUAGUGAACCAACGGCCUAAGGGUGCCAAGGGUCUCACUAGCGCACAGGGCGCGGCUCGGCCACUGGUAGCUGAGGACAGCUUAUUAUGCACUGAGCUUAGUUUAAGCGGGCCAGAGUCAGUGGGUUAAACAGAGGGCGCGACCUAAGUCGUCGGCCCUGAUUAUUAUGUGAUAUGAGCAGUAUAUGUGGUAGAAUGUAUCUUGUAUUGGAUUGUAUAUGCUGAUUAUCUGUUGUGGACUAUCUAGUAAAGGCAAGGGCAAGUUAGAUCAGCCCUGACUGGAGAGCUCGGUGAGCGGAAUGUACAUAGCCAGGUGCUCGGCCGCCACGGUUGAGGUCUAGGCAAGGACAUGGAACCUAAAGACUGUCUGUUUUGCCUUAGUAUGGCUAGUGGAUACUUAUGUACUUUUGGAAGUCUGUAAACUUAUUUUAACUUUGUGUUUAUGGGAUCCCUUGUUUAUUACAGUUUAAAUAUAUGAAAUGAGUCUUUUGAGACCGAAACCUUUUU
Long non-coding RNA from Humulus lupulus (European hop), 875 nucleotides. RefSeq lists it as uncharacterized. The transcript is spliced from 3 exons. Lineage: Eukaryota; Viridiplantae; Streptophyta; Magnoliopsida; Rosales; Cannabaceae. The record is from RefSeq and is a predicted model, not a curated record.